GAGCGGGGGUAUCCCCGCCGCGCAUCCCCUUCGGAAACCCCGCGGGGGCUCUGCGGCGGGGGCAGCAAACUCUCAGCCCAAGCUGGCACCUGCUUGUCGUGCCUUCGGUGCCGGUGUGCCUCCUCUUGUCUUGACAGCUGGAGUGAUUCUCCAUGCCUUCCGCAAGUGUGUGGGCCGGACGGACAGCCCCGAGAGCAUGCAGUGAGAAACGUUAAGAAUACCUGCUAGGGAAGAACUCCCAAAAAAGGGAGGAAAGGUGCAAUGAUGCUCAGGUUCAGGUGGGCAGCUGGCUCUAAGCCUUCCACCCUGGCAGCACAGCAACCGGUUGGGCCUUCAGCAUCCUCUCUGCUGCUGCUUAUCUCAGCUUAGGGACUGCAAAGCCUUCAAGAGUUAAACACAGGCAAAAACACCCUCUAUUCAGAUUUUUGACAGCUGUAAUGAGCUCAAGGAAGAAUUAUGUAAACAUUAUUAAGUGUUAAUAAACACAUGUCAGCGUUAGGCAGUCUUGUGUAGAAAUGUUGGUAAAAGCCAUAGUGAACGCUUUAUUCAUAAUGUCUUUUUAACUUUAUGUAGCUGGUGUAAUAGGCCCUGUGCAUUGCUGUUGCCUCGACAGAAAAUCAUUACCCAGUAACAGAUGAGCCAGUUCGGAAGAAGUGCCACUGGGAUACUGCACACUUUCAUUCAUAGAUGCUAUGUAUUAGAGGAAGUAACAGGAGGCCUGCCAACUUUCCCAAUUUAAUUAUUAAACUGUCAGUUCCUGACUCCUUGUUUCAACUUCCUGAGGCAACAUCUGGCUGUAAUAACAAAAAUAAAUAAAUAAAAUAAAAUUUGAUCAUUCACUCAGCAGCA
Chiroxiphia lanceolata (lance-tailed manakin) is the source of this 849-nucleotide long non-coding RNA. RefSeq lists it as uncharacterized. The transcript has 2 exons. The record is from RefSeq and is a predicted model, not a curated record. Lineage: Eukaryota; Metazoa; Chordata; Aves; Passeriformes; Pipridae.